GUCCUGGGUCACGAAUUCGGUUUUCUCAGGAGCCGCGCAAAGACACAGAGCAGGUGACUGUAAAUGAAGUGCAACACAUGAAUGUAUUCCUCCUGAGAAAUGCAAUGAACUAUUUUUCCAUCGAUUGCAGUAAGAUUUCAUCAUACAGUGAAAUCAUUCUUCUGAUUCUUUCCAGCUUCAACAGUAAGUGACCUUGGAGAACCCUUGGAGAACCCCCAGCCAGCAGUGCCAGACCUUGGAUCAGGCCCAUGAGAAUGCAAUGCUGUGGAAAAUGAAUCACCUCCAUUUCUCCAGCAAGCUUCUUAACCUCCAAAUUCAGAAGUACAGCAAAGCUGACGACUGCACUGAGUAUUUGUUAAAGGCCAGCAGAAAGGAUCCCUGAGGAACAUCAUCUUCACAUGAAAUACGAAACAUCCGUUUUGUUAAGGUUAGAAGAUAAGGCAUAAUUAAAGAAACAGAAGGCUUGCGUGUUCUGACAAGGAGUGGCAGAAAUACUGAACCCUUCUUCUCUAACAGCAAUAGGAGGCUAAAAGGAGCUGCUCAUGUAUCUGAAGACAGCCCCUAGGCUCUACAAGUUUGCUAACUUCCCAGCCAACAAGUGAAUGUUUCUCUUCUCAGUUUUUAUCAUUCACUGCCUACUCCGGGUACAUCCUCUGUUAAUCCAGAAGCCUUAAGAGAAAGCAUCACUCUCCUCAACCCCCUGAUCAUGGAAAUCUAAGCUGUGUGUAUGGGUUUAUAUGUUGCAUUUAGGGGAACGUGUGUGACCCAGAGUUAUCAAGGGAUGCACUGAAUGUUGAUCUCAGAAGGCCCAGAUUAGCUUGAGGUCCCCUGGAUUUCCUCUGCUUCUCUCUACAACAGAAGGAGCAUAGGAUGAGAAGAUGUGGUGCUGGCGGCAAGAUAACAUAUAGCAAAGAGUUUCCAGGCUUCAGUCAACUGAGGACAGCCCAAAAAAUUAUGCUGUAUAUCAGUGGGGACAGAUCUGCUCUCCCGCUCUCAGAUGGAGAACAGAACUUUCCUUCUUUGAAAGAAUGCCAAAAGCUUUCCUAUUUAUGUCCAGCAUGAUCAGGCAUUAUUAUUAAUACAUCAUGACUACCUUGAGGCUCAUCUUAAACUGUACAAGGCAGUGCCCUGCAGAAGCAGUUCAGAAAUAGAAAUGAGAAGUGAAGAGCAUGACUAGCAGUACUUUGUACAAGGAACACACAGCCUGACCUUCAGGACUGGCUUUCCAGUGAGCCCUGACCCUACCAACAGAAGCUCAGCCAGCCUUGAACAUGCCCAGAAGCGUACCUGGGCUCACUUCUGGCAGAGCAUCAGUGGAGUCAGCUCCAUGAGCUGGCUCACAGCAUCUCUGCCUGUGACAGCAUGGGAGCAGGAGGAAGAUGGUGCUGUGCAUAGAUCCAGUGUUCCACUUUCUUGGAGAAGAGUUUUGAGAAAUGACAAUGCAUUUGCCCGCCUUGCUCCAGACUCUCCAGGUAGGAUGUGCUCACAAAAGAAUGAGUAUACCGUAGCAAGCCUAGGAAGUUAGGAAAGCAUCAACUCCAGACAUUGUUGGCCUGGAUUCUUUCUCCUGGCUGUUUUAUCCAUACCUGUUACUAUCUUCUUUGUCAAGGAAAAUGAAGGCAAUAUCACCUUCAGGCUGUAUGCAGCACAGUGGCAAUGAGAAAAUGCGAAGACAAUUGCUAACGUAAUUUGGUGAUCCCUGGAGAUCUGUGGAUUCAGCAUGCCUACUUCUGGACACACAGACCCUCAAAUCAACUCCAGAAGAGUGGGGCAUAGCUUAGAAGUACCCAGGUUCCAGCAGGAUUUUCAAUGAACCACAAGGUGGAAGCAGAAAAGCCUGAGAGGAUGGCAGCUGUCAGGACGAGAAAUGAGGCAACUGAACAGGGUGCUCAGUUGCAAAAAAGACAACAGCAGGAAAAAGGGGGCAUAUGUUUAAAAUACUGCCGUGGAGCUAAAGAUCGGAGUUGUAAGGAAAAGCAGGGAAAAUAACAAAAAGCUCAUCAACACCCACCUGCCAAGAGUGUCAAUAAAAAUGAUAGGAGCAAAGGCAAAGGAUUUUUUUUUUCUCUGCAGCAAGAAGCACAGAUGGGCAAAAGUAUAAAACAAAAGCCUGUAUGAGGUUUUCGUCUGUGCUGCAGUUCUCAAGAAUGAGUACACAAGAAAAAUGUUUACGUGAAUUACGUUAAAUGUGAGCAAACUCUGGAUUGGUAUUCAUGUAUAUUCUUAUCAUAAAGACAUCUUAAAGAUUUUUAAAUCCUGUUUGGUUGGUUCUGAUGGCGUAGUAAUGUAUAUGGUGAGUUGUAUUCGUGUAAAAUAGGAAUGGAAGUAUGAAGAAUGCUGAAGAGAUUUAUUUUAAACAUAUUUAUACUUGCCACAACUCCAUUAAAGGAGCUGGGUAAAACCAUGUCUAAGAUAUGCUUGUAGCAAGUUGGAUAAUUAAAAGGUAUUGCCAGUCACUAUCAAUUUGCUAGAAGGCAUUCACGUUUGCAAUAUACAAAUUUGUACUACUGUCAUUGUUGUAAUCCCAUUUGUGCAAAUAUUCAAUAAAUAAGACACAAAGUUUCUUCCAGCAUCCAGUCAUCAUGCUGCUGCUGAACCCUAUCCAUGUUUUCAGUAACUGAGAACAUGCUAUUUUUAAAGCUGAUUGAAAAAAAAAUUACAUGGCAGUUAUGACCAAGCCAUAUAAUAGUACCUGACUUCUGUAACUGCACUCUUAGAGCUUGGUUCUAUCAUUUAAGGAAGCGUCAUUCAGGGAAACAAUAUUCUGAAGAUAAUAAAAUCCCAGCAGGAUAAAGACUAUGAAUGGACCAUCUCUGCAGCCUCCAAAGUCAGGAAGAAUUGGUAAGUCUUUCCUGUCUUUGUGAAGUGCUCAGGAAAGCAGGACUCAACCCCUGGGUCAAUGCAUGAGCCUGGACUUGCAUCCUUACUGACUCAUUAGAGUCAGUAUGUGCACUGUAUAUCAUUAUAUAGAUGCUGGAGCAAACUAUUUGUUCAGUUUGUUCAGAUUUCUCAAGAGGAAUGAGCAGUUUUGAGGCUAGAAAGACAGCCAGGGGAGUGAUAGCUCAGGACUGAAGCAUGGAGUGAAUCAAACUGACACCAUAAAGCACAAAUAGGAACCCAAACUAAACAACAGAAGGAAAUAUCAAAAACUGUCUCUAUUCUGUUGUUGACAGGGUCAUUAGAAGUAGGCUAUAUCCUUUUUUUUUAGCUGUAGAUCACAUUCAACAUUCCGGUAUGUUUAAGCAUUGUAUGUUCAUUUCAGAAGAAGUGGUUCAAGUGAUCUGAAGUUGUCCCUUGAAGGCAGUUUGAGCUCUCUUUCAGUGCAGAAGUUUCCCUGAUAAUUUUCUUCCUUUUGUUUGUGAUUCUGUAGUGGUUGGCUUGGUCAGCACAUACUUGCUUCUUUCUUUGUCAUGUUGUUUUGUAAUGAACUCUUAUUUCAGCAUGAGGCCACUUCCCAUCCUGCUUUAUAACACAGGCAUGUGGUAAUUGGCUCCAGGAAGUAGACAAAACAUAUAUUUCCUUAUGGCACUAAUUAAUUAGUCAUAUGUACACUCAAUACUUAAUUGCUAUUGUACGCUCUGGCCCGUGUGACUUCUGUGAAAAUAUCGGACUGUACACUAAUUUCAAUUAGAAACUCAUGGAAAAGUGAAAAGUGCCUGUAGUUUCUAUGAGCAAGAGAAGCAAAAUUUCACUCAUCAUACUAAUAACACCCAGCACGUCAUUUCUUCUUUUUUUUUAAUCCUUUGCACUAUGCUCAAUACAUUUCUCUAAUGUAACCAAGCCUGGAAGCUUAAAGCAUCUGUGCUCUACUUAAAAAUGCUGAUAUGACAAAGAAAACCUCUUCCUCAGGACUGCUACUCCUCUUCUGCAGCAUAACAAGCGCUAGUCAACCACAAGUGCUACUAAGAAUGGCUACUUUUAGAGCUUCUUACCAAUAACAGGCAGAGGUUUUGCCCAUUAAGGGUUUAAUUUUCCAUCUUGCAACAGUGACAACCAUUUGGAGUUUUGCCCAUACACUCUGUGCUGAAUUUUUAGGUAUUUAUAACAUUUCUAUGAUACUUACUGCCAUAUUACCAAAGGCUCUCACGCUCAUUAAUCUCCAAUAUAAAUUGUUCCUUUGUUCAUUUCUUAGAUGACUUAUAUGAAGACCACAGCUUUUCAAGCAGAAAUUGAGAAUAAAUUAAAAAUUCUUAUUUUCUCAUUACUUUUCCCACUCUAAGUGUUCCUGAAAUAGCCAGUAUAAUUAGAACAAACAAAGAAAACCCACAGGGCUAAAUUUUGCCCUUAAAAAUAUAUAUGGGUAAGAGCAAAUUUGGAGAUACUGGAAAGAGUUCAGCACAGGGCUACCAAGAUGAUUAAGGGACUGAAAUAGCUCUUACAUGAAGGAGGGCUGAGAGAGUUGGGGCUCUUCAGCCUGGAGAAGAGUGGAGGAAGAUCUCAUAGGUGCAUACCUGAAGAGAGGGUGCAAAGAGGACAGGCUCUUUUCAGUGGUUCCCAGUGCAAGGACAAGAUGCAAUUGUCACAAAGUGAAGUACAAAAACUUUUCUCUGAACAUAAAAAAACAAGUGAGAGUGAAUGAGCACCAGCACAGACUGCUCAGAACAGUGGUGCAGUCUCUCUUUGGAGAUAUUCAAAAGCCCUCUGGACAUGAUCCUGGGCAAUCUGCUGCAGGUGGCCCUGCUUAAGCAAGGGGUUGGAUCAGACCUCAAGAGUUCCCUUCCAGUCUAAACCAUUCUGAGAACUUUAUGGGGCCCACAUCUAUAUCUACAAAGACAAAACACAGAUCAUUUUAUUUUAAAAUCAAGGUAAAAUAUUACAUAUCUUUCAAGUUACUGCACUAGCUGUCUCAGAUGUAUGACUGAAGACAAUUGUUAGAGCAAAGUUCUGAUAAUUUUUAAGUUAUUCAGUGCAACAGUCUUACUAACAAACUAGCAUUAAUCAAAAUCAUUGAGAUUCACUGGAUUUAUGAGUGGAAGCCUGGAUAAAGGAGCAGAAUAAUUAAUGAACACAAACUACAUCCACAUGUGAGAAUCUGAUAGACAAGAAGGAUGGAAAGAGCAAUGGUGGUCUCCAACCUCAAGUGUCCAUCUCUCUGAGGUCCCAGUCCUCCACUGCAAUGCAAACCUCAGAUUCUUAUGAAGCAGUUGCAAUCCUCAGUCUCUAACCCUGCAUACUAAACAAGCUUCUGCUCUUCUUUAUAUAUCCAAGUAUUUUUUUUAUAGCUUAGAAAGCUAAUAGUGAAGCAAAGGAGUAUCUAUGUAAUGAUGGCCAGCUGUAACGUAUGGUUGGAAAUCUACACAAUACUGGGUUAUAUAUAAGCCAAAGAAUAUAUACAGAGUAUCAUGAACUGUUUACAGCAAAAUCUGAUAUCUGGAAGACAGUAUUGCUUGAUCUGAGAAUUAGAAACUUGAAUCUAAAUUCAAGUUUAUAACUUGAAAUUUGAAUCAAAUCAGAAUUUGAUACAGUACACAAAUAUGUAGUGAUCAAAGUAAGAUUUUAUGCUAUUCUGUACCAUUGUACCACUGCAUAACAUGAAAAUUGGCAGUUCCCAGUGUUUCCUGAACCUGAAACUGCAAGCAUAACUCAGUGCUUGAGUAGCUCAAGCUAGACCUAACUCAUGACAGUCUUGUAUCUUGUCAUUUACACCUGUGCUAUGAGUAUCAAACGGAGCAUAGCAAGCUGCUAUUUUUCUCCUACUCCACACAGAGAUGUAAAUGAAUUCAGCAAAGUGAAGGCUUGUGAAGAUAGUGGUGUAAUCUCCAGAAAUAUGAGAGUCAGGAAUCUGAACUCCUGUACUGCUGCAGAAAAGAAAUUGUCUUAGAGAAGCAAAUCAGUGAGGAAGUGUAUAGAAGGGACCAUGAGAUUAGAAGCAGAAGAGUAGGACCACAAUCUAAAAACAGCUACAGCAAAAGUUCUGUAUGAGUCUGAGGACCAACAAACACGUGAGUGGAACGGUCCAUUUUCUCACCAGCAAUACAUGUCACAGACAUAGUUGUGGUAUCAUGUCUGAAAUGAACAUAGCCCAUAGCAUAUUUUCCAUAGAAAUUUGAAUGUAACAUUUCUGCUGCCUAGGAAAGAGAAAUUGAAAACACAUUUUGUAAAAGAACACUGGGAGUAUUAACACCUAAAGAAGACACAUCCCAGAGAAAUAUGUGUAGGAAAGCUGGAUAUCUGAAGUGCUGGAAGAGACUUAGUGAUAACCAUAAGUGAUACUGAUUUAAUUAAAAGUCUUUUAUCACCUUUUUGGUAAUUCUGCCUCUUUAUUGAUCCAAGAAGUAAAACCAAAGUUAAAUUUUAGAAGGUGAUGUGUCCUUAAGAAGUGAGCUGACAAGAAUUGAAAAGACCCUGGUUUCACUACAUUGAAAAAAAAUCCCAUUUGGAAUCUUAUUAUACAUCUCUGGCAACAGUGAUCCAAUACAUGAAAUACUCAGGCUGGUGACUGAUGCAAGUCUGGCAACAUCAUAUCAUAGGGUGUGAGGAUUUGAACUGGCAUAGAUUUAUUUAUUUAUUUAUUUAAGUUAACUAUAGAUCAUCUUUGAAGAUCCCUCUGUGCAUGCUUUUGUUUUGAUUUUUCAGUGGAUCUUGAAGGCAAUGGAUCUGCAGUGGCUGAGUAGCUGGGCCUCUGUGUAUACUUUUAUUGUUGUUACAUUGAAUGAACCAUAAUAAGAACACGGGGAGAUAUCUGCCAUUACACAAAGGAGAAAUUCAGUAGCUAGUUUCAGCUGAAAGGGGAGUAACUUUCCUAUGUGUCUAGGAAAACCUCCCUCCAAAAAAAAACAGACUACUCCUAUGUGCCUACUAACUUCUGUGGAACAGCCAGCUUUCAUAUUUCUUUUUGAACUUGAUCACUUAGAUUAUUGCUAAUUCUGAAGUUAAAUAAUAUCCACACUAUCAGACAAGAGCAGUACACCCUUAAUUUUAAAGGAGUUAAAAUUUCAUGAAUGAGAAAUGCAAUCCUCUUAACUGAGUAGAGAGAACCUGUUUUAUGUCAAAGGCUCUCCCGGUAGGACUCUAUCAGAGGUCUGACUCUCUCCUGUGGGCACAGACCAUGCAGAUCGCUUUCCAAAGACAUCUCUGUACAAGUAAGCAAAAUGUUCUCAGAGGGACAACAACCAUCUUCCCAAUCCUAGGAGAGCUGCUGCACAAGUAUAUCCUUAAAGUUCCUGUAUGGCAACAUUUCCAAGGGGCUAGAGAUCUGCUCAGGUUGUUAAUGCGUGCCUGAGGUGCUCAUCUUCUCAAAAUAUUCCUGCUUUGAGGGCAUUUCAGCUCUAACAUGAACAUUAGAAAUAUCCUCACAUUUACAGAGAUAAUCGUUAUAGCUUCUUAGGACUUAAAAUUGCAGCGACUCAGUGCAAAUUGGGAAAAAACAGUCUCUUUCUUGAGUCCACUUGCCUUGGGAUCUAAUUCAGAGUUGUUGUAAGGAAAGAAAGAUUAGGAAGCCCACUCCACACUGUUGCUGCAUUUCCUUACUCAGCACCUAAGUCUUGUUCUUGGCGGACACAGGUGAUGGAUGUUUUAAAGAGAAUUCCUUACUCUGCUGUGGAUGAGACAACAAGGAUCUGCUCUCCUUUAAAGUAAUAGUAUUUAACUCACUUGACAGACAUUUAUCUCCAGAUACUGUGAGGAUAACAGAGCAUCACCCUGAAGCCCUGUUUUGGAAAUUUUGGAAGGUUUACUGGUUUGUUUCCCCAAACUUUCAUGUUUCAUUAAAAUAAUACAACACUGCCUGCUGUUCUGGGCAAACUCUAUAUCUCUCUCCAUUGUUUCCCUACUGCAUCAGCUUCACAAUAAUUAUGUGCAGAGAUGCAAACUGAAAUUACUGUAGCAAAGGUGCAAAUUCAGCCCAGAAUGAAAAGGGGCAUCAUUUUCAAAAUCUAUAACUAGAUAUGCUUCAAUAUCAAAUGCUCAGCAGGCGGCCAAGAACUUCAAUAUUUAUUGAGCACAUUAUGCCUUCUCAUUACACAAAUAUGGCCCAGUGCUACAAUACAAACAUAUGCUUUUUACAAAAGAUUUCUGCUUAUAGUAUUUGAAAUGUUGCAUUAACAUUCAGUUUACCUUUGUAGCCAGAACAAAUGUAUUAAUUCAUGAAGCCUGAGGUCGCAAGUGAUCCUGUAUAUAAAAUAUUUGUAGCAAAAAAUAGAAUACUUUAAUAUUGACAUCUCAAGAACAGAUAAAUUGGCAGAAUAAAUGUUCCCAGAUGACCCGCUAACCUCUGCUGAUUGUGCCACUGAACCCUUGAAGAAGUAAUUAAAAUAAUUUGCAACAGCGGAGAAUGAAUAUGAAAUUCAUCUCCAUUGCAUGGUCAUUGAUCAGUAGUAAAGUACUUGCACUUGAAAAAGAAUUUCUAAAACAUGGCAAAAAUGACAAUUUUUGUAAUAUGAACCGUUUUUGUAGUAAGUUAAAUUGAUCGAUUAAUGUUACAUUUAUUAUUUUUGCACUUGUCUAGAUUUGACGAGGAAUUUACUGUAAGCUGACACAUCAUUUGCUUUUGGCAGACAUCAAUUACUCUCAUCAAUAUCCUAAAAAAGAAAAGAAAUUAUAACAGCAAGAAAUUAAAAGGAAGGUUACAUCAUUUUCAGUCCAAAUCGAAAUAUAUUACUGAUUUGCUUUCUGAUAUUGUUGCCUGUUUAUCUCAGAAUGUUGUGGGGUUUCUUGCUAUUGCGAUAACUUUCUGGAGGUAAGCAAUACACAGAUAAAGCAUUUUCCUUCCUGUUCCUGAUUAAAAAGUGCAACAUUUCAACAUAUUUCAACAGGACUACUUUGAAUAUCUGAUCGCAAAUACUGAUGUGACAUUCACAUAGCUUCUAGUACACCAGGCCAUUACAGUCACAGUCCCAAGUAAAACUAACUCAGUAAAGAAGUUCAGGAAUAACUGGGGAUUUGUCAUACCAUUGUGGGCAGACGUUUCAUUCUUCCCAUGAAGGAGUAUAUGAUCCAGAUAUGAGCCAGCCACUAGAAUUAAAAUUAGAAGCCAUUUAAUUAAAGUUAGUGCAGCACUGAACCCAAAUUAUCAAGUCUUCCCAAGAGGCAGCAUAUAUUAACUCAAGGGCAGCGUGAUAAUACAGGUAUGUUCAUCCAGUCAAGUUGACAUGAAAGCUAUCUCUUAAGGCACCAGACCUUCCAGAUGACCGCCUGACAAAGAUGCAAGGCUGAAGAAGUUAAAAGUAAGGUUAUGUCAUCUCUUUUCCUAUACAUUAUCACUAUGAAAAAAGGAAAAAAAAAAAAAAAAAAAAAGAGAGAGAGAAAAAAAAUAGGGAAAUACAGCCCAACACUUACACAGAACACAACUUUUAGUAUUCUGGCCCUGAUACAUUUAGAAAGAUGAUUUUAGACUUAUUGGUCAAGCUAUGCAAAUGGAGAUUAAAGAAGAA
Molecule: long non-coding RNA, 9371 nt
Organism: Gallus gallus (chicken)
Lineage: Eukaryota; Metazoa; Chordata; Aves; Galliformes; Phasianidae
Exons: 8
Source: RefSeq, a predicted model, not a curated record